Molecule: ribosomal RNA, 604 nt
Filed under: Amolops cucae
Lineage: Eukaryota; Metazoa; Chordata; Amphibia; Anura; Ranidae
Description: partial 16S ribosomal RNA
Rfam family: Archaeal large subunit ribosomal RNA (bases 348-596)
Source: RNAcentral
UUAUUUGAAACGGGACACAACCCCUAAUACUGGGUUUAAUCUAGAUAUACUAAGUAAAGUGGGCCUAAAAGCAGCCAUCUUCUGAAAAGCGUUAAAGCUUGACAUAUUAACAUCUACAAUUCCUUAAUUUUUACUUAACCCUUUAUCACUACUGAACUAUUUUAUACCCCCUAUUAAAGUUAUUAUGCUAGAACUAGUAACAAGAAAUUGCUUUUCUCCUAAAUGUAUGUUUGAACCAAAAUGGACCCUCCACUGGUGACUAACGCAAAUGAAAAUAUCAUAGUACCACAAGGCUAGAAAACCCUAUGCCCUCAUAACGUCAACCUUACACUAGAGCAUUACAGGAAAGAUUAAAAGAGAAAGAAGGAACUCGGCAAAUCACAGUCCCGCCUGUUUACCAAAAACAUCGCCUCUUGACUAAAUAUAAGAGGUCCAGCCUGCCCAGUGACAUAGUUUAACGGCCGCGGUACCCUAACCGUGCGAAGGUAGCAUAAUCACUUGUUCUUUAAAUAGGGACUCGUAUCAACGGCAUCACGAGGGCUGUACUGUCUCCUUUCUCCAAUCAGUGAAACUGAUCUCCCCGUGAAGAAGCGGGGAUAAACCU